GCCCUCCUACGGGACGCAGCAGUGAGGAAUAUUGGUCAAUGGCCGGAAGGCUGAACCAGCCACGCCGCGUGAGGGAGGAAGGCGCAGAGCGUCGCAGACCUCUUUUGCCGGGGGACAAAAGGCCGGACUCGUCCGGUCCUGAGGGUACCCGGAGAAAAAGCAUCGGCUAACUCCGUGCCAGCAGCCGCGGUAAUACGGAGGAUGCGAGCGUUAUCCGGAUUCAUUGGGUUUAAAGGGUGCGCAGGCGGGCCUUUAAGCCGGCGG
This 264-nucleotide ribosomal RNA is filed under the name uncultured bacterium. RNAcentral describes it as "partial 16S ribosomal RNA". It matches the Rfam family "Bacterial small subunit ribosomal RNA", at positions 333 to 594 of the family's 1533-position model. The record is from RNAcentral.